This 2913-nucleotide long non-coding RNA is filed under the name Gallus gallus (chicken). Its description in RNAcentral is "long non-coding RNA NONGGAT001120". The record is from RNAcentral. Lineage: Eukaryota; Metazoa; Chordata; Aves; Galliformes; Phasianidae.
AAAUGGAGCCGUGUCAAUUUAUCCCAGUUGAGGAUCUGACCAAGGAUCACAACUGGCAUUAAUUAGCAGAUGUGUUAUCAGACUCCGCGGAGAUGCCCCGGGUUGAGUGACGGCAGGCCAACACCAUGCACGGUGCAGGCAGGUGGGAGCUCCAGGUCCUCCCUACAGGCACAUUGGUGGCUUCUACUGCUGCAUGGCAUGGCCAUGCCACCAGCCUUCGUGAGAAGGACCUCCACAGCAGGGUGCAGCCAGUCAUAUUAGAGCCCAAGCAAUGCAAGGCAGCUACUAAAAAUCAGGGAGGGGGGAAAAGGAAAGAGGUGUAGUGCUGGAAUGAGUCACCCUGGAGCUCGGUGUGCAUGAGACUGCUCUGCUAGUUCUAAAUGAAACCACUGACUGAUAUUCUGGGGGUACGCAUGCACCAUCUGAGCUAAUACUAGUGCUGGCUGCACAUGCGUGACAGAAGGGUGAAGGAGAUGCUGCUGAAAAUACAGGUACCCAAAGGCCACAGAACAAACCUGGUCCUCACAUUGCUCAGGGAGUAAUAUCCUCAGCCUUCACCAGCUACUGAUACUCUUUACAAAGUGGCUCAAGUUCACAGACCUCAUGCUUUUUAAUGCACUUGAAAACAUCUUCUUCUCGCUCUAAGACUUUUUUACUGUAACCCAGGAAAUGGAAAGAACAGGAGAGUGGAAGUUCAGUAGUAGCAGGAACACAGAAGUCAUAAGGCUGACCUAGACAAUGGGAAGAUGCAGAAUAUUUUAGUAACGUGCUGUAGUAACUGUCACCUGCAAAAUGUCCAUCAGCACUUCUGCAAAUUCUUUCCACCAUUCUCAACAAGAUAACAAAAGAUAACUUUUCGGACCACAAAGCUGAAACACUUCCUGUGACUCAAAUGGCUCCAGCACAGCUAUUUCCUAGAAGACAUCCUCCCUGAUUUCUUGUGGUGCCUGUUAGAUUGCUGAAGUUGCAGUGCAGAGAUAAACCAGAUACCAGAAUAGAGGAACGUUUCUCAGAAGGACCAGUGAGACAUCUCCUGACCUCUGUCUCCAUCUGAGGAUAUAUCUGGAGUAGAGCAGAGAAGCAGAGGCACCACAGACUACAGAUACCCAUGGGGAAUGUUGUUCUGCCUCAAGGUUCAGCUCUACAAUAUGGCCAUGGACCGUAUAUACCCAUAGGUUCCUGUGAGUGGGUGAAGUGGGUGAGGGUUUAGACAGAGGCUGGGAUGAGUCUGAAGGGAUGCUGAUCUGGGUGGUGGGGGACUGGGACUCCAUGGCAUACUGUCACAAAUCAAAAGAUAAGUCUAGUUACAGCCAUUCAGCCUUUGAUUUUCUCGCCUUCCUCCUAAACUAUUUUCCCAAGAACUUAUUUGUCUCAGUCUGCGUUUUCCUUAUCUGCAGACAGGGCUAUGAGGCAUACCAUACUACAAUGAAUAUGGGUACUCACUCCAUGCUGGGCUGUGGGAGAAAGUUUUGCACAGCUCUAGUAAAACAGGUGAACAGCUACAGGUUUGAAAAGCCUCCUAGCCUUCCCUGAACCUCAAAAGGCCCAGUGUAGGAUUCCUCACCCAUCCUGAUUAUCCAUAAGUAGAUCAGACAGCAUCUCAUUUCCUAGACACAAACAUUCAGCGGUGUUCUGCAGUUGCUUCAAGAGUAAAGAAAAUUCCUCCUGGCUCCUACUGAGCAGUCACUGGCAUUGGUCAACCAUAGCACACCUUGUCUUUGCCAGAAGCCAGUAUCAGACAAUAUGAAAGGGAACUGCCCCCUCCUUCCUGUGUAUGUAAAUGUAUAACAGUUUACCACGGAAGAUGAUGCCUUUCUGACUCCAUCUACUGACUAGCUUUUACCAAGAACUACUGACACUAUUACAUAAUACUUGUUAGUAAAACUCUCACAGAUUUUUUCAAGGCCAGGAACAACCAUUAUUAUCAUCCAGUCUGAUCUUCUGCAUAAUAUAUGCUACUGAAUUUAACCCAAUCUGAACUUGGUGUGUAGAUUUGCUUUUAUGUCUCAAAAUGCCUCCUCAUUUACAAAUAUGAUACUGUUUCACCGAGUACUAUCUGUGCAGCAGCAAGUUCCAUUAAUUAACUGUACAUUGUUUGGAAAAGCAAUACCUCUUAUCCGUUUGAAAUUCGAUACCUCUUCGUUUCACCUUGCAGGAUAGGAAAGGGUUUUUAUUCCUUUGCUGCUAAUUAGGUUGGAGGAUCAUGAGGACAAAAUGUUAUUUAUAUUAUAGUCGUGCUUAAGGAGAGCUCUGAUGAAGCCUGGGGAUCCCACUGCACAAAGUGAGGGAGACCGUGCAAUUCCUUCAGGACUGAGACUAUUUGAAUGGACGAAUGGCAUAUUUUCAAAGGAGCUGAACGAUUUCACCAAAACGAAUGUCAGACAAGUCAAUGGAUUCAUACUUCUCAAUCACCUAUACAUUUCUAAAAAAUCAAUCCAAAGUUUGAAGGAAAGAAAGGCAUGGAAAAACAAAGUCCCUGAAGCCAAGAUCAAGAAAUAAGUUUGGUAUGUAGUCAGUGAAAAGAAAAACGUGUUGCUAAUAUGCAGCUCUGUGUCCACUGUCCAUAGGUCACUUUGGCUUCCAGAGGCUCAUGGUCUUAAAGUCCUCCCUUUAAGAGAGCAGGGUGCACUGGGCAAAGUACAAUGUCUGCUGCAUGCACAGUCCCCAGUUCUUUUGCCCUGGGGCCAAGGACAGCUACAUUAUCUCAGGCAACAGCGGUUAUCCAAGUUUAUGGAAAGGGUUCACGUAAGAUUUGCAGUCCCAUGAGGGUCAGUCUGCCUUGAGAGAUAGGCUGGGGUUUGUGUUCUCUCUCUCUUCUCAAGGAAAUUCCCCAUCCUUUUGACUUCUAUCUUUUUUUAUUGCCAUUCUCUGGACUUCUUCUAUUUCUACUUUCUUUUUUACAGGGAUGAGGUG